This is a non-coding RNA of Schistosoma mansoni, 45 nucleotides long. NCBI's taxonomy places the organism in Eukaryota, Metazoa, Platyhelminthes, Trematoda, Strigeidida, Schistosomatidae. The record is from Rfam.
AUCCAGCUGACGAGUCUCAAAUGGGACGAAACUCGCAUCAUGGAU